Molecule: ribosomal RNA, 467 nt
Filed under: Enterobacter hormaechei
Lineage: Bacteria; Pseudomonadati; Pseudomonadota; Gammaproteobacteria; Enterobacterales; Enterobacteriaceae
Description: bacterial SSU rRNA
Rfam family: Bacterial small subunit ribosomal RNA
Source: RNAcentral
AUUGAACGCUGGCGGCAGGCCUACACAUGCAAGUCGAAGGUAACAGGAAGCAGCUUGCUGCUUUGCUGACGAGUGGCGACGGGUGAGUAAUGUCUGGGAAACUGCCUGAUGGAGGGGGAUAACUACUGGAAACGGUGCUAAUACCGCAUAACGUGCAAGACCAAAGAGGGGGACCUUCGGGCCUCUUGCCAUGGAUGUGCCCAGAUGGGAUUAGCUAGUGGUGGGGUAACGGCUCACCUAGGCGACGAUCCCUAGCUGGUCUGAGAGGAUGACCAGCCACACUGGAACUGAGACACGGUCCAGACUCCUACGGGAGGCAGCAGUGGGGAAUAUUGCACAAUGGGCGCAAGCCUGAUGCAGCCAUGCCGCGUGUAUGAAGAAGGCCUUCGGGUUGUAAAGUACUUUGCAGCGGGGAGGAAGGCGAUAAGGUUAAUAACCUUGUCGAUUGACGUUACCCGCAGAAGAGC